RNAcentral lists this ribosomal RNA (426 nucleotides) under uncultured Actinomycetes bacterium. RNAcentral describes it as "bacterial SSU rRNA". It matches the Rfam family "Bacterial small subunit ribosomal RNA", at positions 958 to 1385 of the family's 1533-position model. Lineage: Bacteria; Bacillati; Actinomycetota; Actinomycetes. The record is from RNAcentral.
AACGCGAAGAACCUUACCAAGGUUUGACAUGGCCGGAAAAGCCUCAGAGAUGGGGUGUCCGUAAGGGUCGGUCACAGGUGGUGCAUGGCUGUCGUCAGCUCGUGUCGUGAGAUGUUGGGUUAAGUCCCGCAACGAGCGCAACCCUCGUCCUAUGUUGCCAGCGGGUAAUGCCGGGGACUCAUAGGAGACUGCCGGGGUCAACUCGGAGGAAGGUGGGGAUGACGUCAAGUCAUCAUGCCCCUUAUGUCUUGGGCUGCAAACAUGCUACAAUGGCCGGUACAAAGGGCUGCGAAACCGCAAGGUAGAGCGAAUCCCAAAAAGCCGGUCUCAGUUCGGAUUGGGGUCUGCAACUCGACCCCAUGAAGUCGGAGUCGCUAGUAAUCGCAGAUCAGCAACGCUGCGGUGAAUACGUUCCCGGGCCUUGUA